GGUUCGAUCCUGGCUCAGAUUGAACGCUGGCGGGAUGCUUUACACAUGCAAGUCGAACGGCAGCACGGACUUCGGUCUGUGGCGAGUGGCGAACGGGUGAGUAAUGUAUCGGAACGUGCCUAGUAGCGGGGGAUAACUACGCGAAAGGUAGCUAAUACCGCACACGGCCCUUCGGGGGAAAGCGGGGGGACCUUCGGGCCUCGCACUAUUAGAGCGGCCGAUAUCGGAUUAGCUAGUUGGUGGGGUAACGGCUCACCAAGGCGACGAUCCGUAGCUGGUUUGAGAGGACGGCCAGCCACACUGGGACUGAGACACGGCCCAGACUCCUACGGGAGGCAGCAGUGGGGAAUUUUGGACAAUGGGGAAACCCUGAUCCAGCCAUCCCGCGUGUGUGAUGAAGGCCUUCGGGUUGUAAAGCACUUCUUUGGCAGGAAAGAAACGGCACGGGAUAAUACCCUCGUGCAACUGACGGUACCUGCAGAAUAAGCACCGGCUAACUACGUGCCAGCAGCCGCGGUAAUACGUAGGGUGCAAGCGUUAAUCGGAAUUACUGGGCGUAAGCGUGCGCAGGCGGUUCGGAAAAAGAAAGAUGAAAUCCCAGAGCUUAACUUUGGAACUACAUUUUUAACUACCGAGCUAGAGUGUCAGAGGGAGGUGGAAUUCCGCGUAGCAGUGAAAUGCGUAGAUAUGCGGAGGAACACCGAUGGCGAAAGCAGCCUCCUGGGAUAACACUGACGCUCAUGCACGAAAGCGUGGGGAGCAAACAGGAUUAGAUACUCCCGGUAGUCCACGCCCUAAACGAUGUCAACUAGCUGUUGGGGCCUUCGCCUGGUAGCGCAGCUAAUGCGUGAAGUUGACCGCCUGGGGAGUACGGUCGCAAGAUUAAAACUCAAAGGAAUUGACGGGGACCCGCACAAGCGGAUGAUGUGGAUUAAUUCGAUGCAACGCGAAAAACCUUACCUACCCUUGACAUGUUCGGAAUCCUGAAGAGAUUUGGGAGUGCUCGCAAGAGAACCGGAACACAGGUGCUGCAUGGCUGUCGUCAGCUCGUGUCGUGGAGAUGUUGGGUUGGGUCCCGCAACGAGCGCAACCCUUGUCAUUAGUUGCUACGAAAGGGCACUCUAAUGAGACUGCCGGUGACAAACCGGAGGAAGGUGGGAUGACGUCAAGUCCUCAUGGCCCUUAUGGGUAGGGCUUCACACGUCAUACAAUGGUCGGGACAGGUCGCCAACCCGCGAGGGGAGCCAAUCCCAGAAACCCGAUCGUAGUCCGGAUCGCAGUCUGCAACUCGACUGCGUGAAGUCGGAAUCGCUAGUAAUCGCGGAUCAGCAUGUCGCGGUGAAUACGUUCCCGGCCUUGUACACACCGCCCGUCACACCAUGGAGUGGGUUUUACCAGAAGAAGAGUCAACUGCAAGGGGAGGGCGAUUACCACGGUAGGAUUCAUGACUGGGGUGAAGUCGUAACAAGGUAG
RNAcentral lists this ribosomal RNA (1473 nucleotides) under uncultured Bordetella sp. Its description in RNAcentral is "partial 16S-23S ribosomal RNA intergenic spacer". It matches the Rfam family "Bacterial small subunit ribosomal RNA". The record is from RNAcentral. Lineage: Bacteria; Pseudomonadati; Pseudomonadota; Betaproteobacteria; Burkholderiales; Alcaligenaceae.